AGAAAAUAGAUACCCAGGUAGUCCACGCCCUAAACGAUGCGCACUAGAUUCGGGAGCCUCUGACGGUUUCCGGGUCGAUGUGAAAAAAACGUUAAGUGCGCCGCCUGGGGAGUACGGCCGCAAGGUUAAAACUCAAAGGAAUUGACGGGGGCUCACACAAGCGGUGGAGCAUGUGGAUUAAAUUCGAAGCAACGCGAAGAACCUUACCUGGGUUUGACAUGCACGGAUGCCGUCCAUGAAAGUGGAGCCGGCUGCUCUUCGGAGUGAAACGUGUACAGGUGCUGCAUGGCUGUCGUCAGCUCGUGCGGUGACGUGUUGGGUUAAGUCCUAUAACGAGCGAAACCCCUGUCGUUAGUUGCCAGCGCGUAAUGGCGGGAACUCUAACGAGACUGCCGGCGUCAAGCCGGAGGAAGGCGGGGAUGACGUCAAGUCAUCAUGGCCUUUAUGUCCAGGGCGUCACACGUGCUACAAUGGCUACUACAAAGCGACGCUAAACCGUAAGGCGGAGCAAAUCGACAAAAGGUAGCCUCAGUUCGGAUUGUGGU
This 545-nucleotide ribosomal RNA is filed under the name uncultured bacterium. RNAcentral's name for it is "bacterial SSU rRNA". It matches the Rfam family "Bacterial small subunit ribosomal RNA", at positions 775 to 1304 of the family's 1533-position model. The record is from RNAcentral.